This 550-nucleotide ribosomal RNA is filed under the name Enterobacter kobei. Its description in RNAcentral is "bacterial SSU rRNA". It matches the Rfam family "Bacterial small subunit ribosomal RNA", at positions 874 to 1424 of the family's 1533-position model. Lineage: Bacteria; Pseudomonadati; Pseudomonadota; Gammaproteobacteria; Enterobacterales; Enterobacteriaceae. The record is from RNAcentral.
UGGGGAGUACGGCCGCAAGGUUAAAACUCAAAUGAAUUGACGGGGGCCCGCACAGCGGUGGAGCAUGUGGUUUAAUUCGAUGCAACGCGAAGAACCUUACCUACUCUUGACAUCCAGAGAACUUAGCAGAGAUGGUUUGGUGCUUCUGGACCUCCCGCGACGAGGGUUCCGCACGUUUGUCGGCAGCUCGUGUUGUGAAAUGUUGGGUUAAGUCCCGCAACGAGCGCAACCCUUAUCCUUUGUUGCCAGCGUUCCGGCCGGGAACUCAAAGGAGACUGCCAGUGAUAAACUGGAGGAAGGUGGGGAUGACGUCAAGUCAUCAUGGCCCUUACGAGUAGGGCUACACACGUGCUACAAUGGCGCAUACAAAGAGAAGCGACCUCGCGAGAGCAAGCGGACCUCAUAAAGUGCGUCGUAGUCCGGAUUGGAGUCUGCAACUCGACUCCAUGAAGUCGGAAUCGCUAGUAAUCGUAGAUCAGAAUGCUACGGUGAAUACGUUCCCGGGCCUUGUCACCCCGCCCGUCACACCAUGGGAGUGGGUUGCAAAAGA